UCCUCCCAAGCAUCCUGCGCCUACUGGCAGGGCUACUGGGCAUGCAGUAACUGAGGGACAGCCCGCCCAGGAGAAGAACGAAGAGCAGAGACAGAGAGCCUGGAAAAGGAAGUACAAAGGACCAAGAUUGCUGCAAAGUCGCCACUCCCGAGUUCCUCCAGAUAGCUGCAGACACACGUCGUUAACAAGAACACUUCAAAUCUCUUAGUCAUUUUCAAAUUUCCCAUUUUGGCUACACUUCACAUGCAGCACAUUAUAUGGAAGUACACGGCAGUUCCCCCCUUAUCUGCAAAGGACAUGUUCAGAGAUCUCCAGUGGAUGACUGAAACCAUGGAGAGUACUAAAUCCUAUAUAUACAGUGUUUUUUUCCCUAUACAUAUAUAUGAUAAAGUUUAUACAUUAGGCACGGUAAGAGAUUAACAACUCAUAAUAAAAUAUGAGUUAAACUCAUAUGCAAUAUAAUAUAUGCAAUAAAAUUGAAAUACGGUCAAACUCUG
This is a non-coding RNA of Macaca mulatta (Rhesus monkey), 497 nucleotides long. The record is from RefSeq and is a predicted model, not a curated record. Lineage: Eukaryota; Metazoa; Chordata; Mammalia; Primates; Cercopithecidae.